AGACCCGAAACCCGGUGAUCUAGCCAUGGGCAGGUUGAAGGUUGGGUAACACUAACUGGAGGACCGAACCGACUAAUGUUGAAAAAUUAGCGGAUGACCUGUGGCUGGGGGUGAAAGGCCAAUCAAACCGGGAGAUAGCUGGUUCUCCCCGAAAGCUAUUUAGGUAGCGCCUCGUGAAUUCAUCUCCGGGGGUAGAGCACUGUUUCGGCUAGGGGGCCAUCCCGGCUUACCAACCCGAUGCAAACUGCGAAUACCGGAGAAUGUUAUCACGGGAGACACACGGCGGGUGCUAACGUCCGUCGUGAAGAGGGAAACAACCCAGACCGCCAGCUAAGGUCCCAAAGUCAUGGUUAAGUGGGAAACGAUGUGGGAAGGCCCAGACAGCCAGGAUGUUGGCUUAGAAGCAGCCAUCAUUUAAAGAAAGCGUAAUAGCUCACUGGUCGAGUCGGCCUGCGCGGAAGAUGUAACGGGGCUAAACCAUGCACCGAAGCUGCGGCAGCGAACGUAUCACCCAAGACAACUUUACGGAGUUGACGAUUGACGGAGCGAAGCGACGUCAAAGCGUUCAUUAA
This 572-nucleotide ribosomal RNA is filed under the name Salmonella enterica. RNAcentral describes it as "partial 23S ribosomal RNA". It matches the Rfam family "Bacterial large subunit ribosomal RNA", at positions 711 to 1227 of the family's 2925-position model. RNAcentral also lists the same sequence under 4 other names. Lineage: Bacteria; Pseudomonadati; Pseudomonadota; Gammaproteobacteria; Enterobacterales; Enterobacteriaceae. The record is from RNAcentral.